UCACCAAGCCGGCUCUCCAGUCCCACUUAUCUUAACUUCAUAUUUCAUUUCAAAGGACACAUACAUGCCAGAGUGCACGUGGAGGUCAGCAUUCCAGGGGUUGGCUUUCUCUUCCCACUAAGUGAGUCCCAGGGACUCAUCCUUACCUAGCAAGCCUUACUGGGCCUGGUUUCUUUUAAUAGUCAUUGUGGCAACUGUGAAGUAAAGUGGCCUUUAUUUCUAAUUUAUUUGGGACAAGGUCUUAAGUAGCCCAGGUUGGCUUGGAAUUCAAUCUGUAACAGAGGAUGACUGAACUCCUGAUUCUCCUGCCCCCACUUCCCACGUGCAGGGCUGCAGGCGUGCGCCACUAUAUGUAGCUGACAGUAGUUUUUGAUAGACUGAUAACGGAACCCUUGAUUUGUAUUUUUAAACACAUUUUAUCAUGUGAAAUAUGGUGAUGCACUCCCACUCCCCAUGCACAUGGGCGAGGGAGGUGGAAGGAUCUGUGUUUUAGGUAGCUCAGCAUCAAUCCCGUAAUUUUAUGCCACUUUCAUCACCCCAGAAACUCUGCAUCCCUUAGGGGCCCUGUCUUCUCCCUUAGUCCUUCUCAGUUGUUAGUAGCUACCAAACUGCUUCUUGACUCUGGAUUUGCCAGUUCCGAGACUCCAGAGAAGCAGAACCACACAUGGGGUGGGGUUUGCAACAGGCUUCUCUCACUUAGCACUAUGCUUGUAAGAGGUAUCAUAUAUUAAGUUAGCUUAACAUAUUUAAUGUAAUUUUUAAACACCUAAGAGAGCUAUAUGGAACAUGUAUCUAAGGCUCUGUACACCAAAAGAUCAACAGCCACUUUCUUCCAAUGAUGGUCUAACAGUUGACCUUAACAUUUUAUUUUUGAUAAGACUUUUCUGUUUAAAAACAAAACAAGAGGUCUGUGAGAGGCUCCAUGGACCAUGGUUCUUGUCACCGUGCCUGAAUCCUUCAGACUUCUGUAUUUGAGGCAAGAGAACCAACUCCAAUAAAUUGUCUUCUAACCUCCACUUGCACACACUGUGGUGUGACUGCACACAAAUAAAUGUAAAAGAAAACUUAACUUACAGCAAAAUAAAGCCAGCAAGCACAUGC
Molecule: long non-coding RNA, 1101 nt
Filed under: Mus musculus (house mouse)
Lineage: Eukaryota; Metazoa; Chordata; Mammalia; Rodentia; Muridae
Description: long non-coding RNA chr11:60871495-60872596
Source: RNAcentral